GAAAAGUCCCUUAGGGUAUAGUAAACUCCUUUUCGGAUCGGGAAAGAUAAAUGACGGUACCGAGAGAGGAAAGCCCCGGCUAACUUCGUGC
Molecule: ribosomal RNA, 91 nt
Filed under: uncultured bacterium
Lineage: Bacteria
Description: partial 16S ribosomal RNA
Source: RNAcentral